This 29-nucleotide non-coding RNA is filed under the name Homo sapiens (human). The record is from RNAcentral. Lineage: Eukaryota; Metazoa; Chordata; Mammalia; Primates; Hominidae.
UNCUAUGGACCUGCCCAACCAAGGUGCUC